Molecule: microRNA precursor, 96 nt
Filed under: Marmota monax (woodchuck)
Lineage: Eukaryota; Metazoa; Chordata; Mammalia; Rodentia; Sciuridae
Source: RNAcentral
AGUGGGAUUGCUGAGUUAUAUGAUAACUCUGACCUUUUGAGGAGCUAUUAGAGUGUAUUUCAAAGUGGUAGUACUAUAUACAUUCCCACCAGCAGU